Molecule: long non-coding RNA, 789 nt
Filed under: Homo sapiens (human)
Lineage: Eukaryota; Metazoa; Chordata; Mammalia; Primates; Hominidae
Description: LNC_000319
Source: RNAcentral
AGCAAUAAAGCCAUACACUUGAAAAAUAACUUUUUUACUGUUAGAUGACUUGAUAAUAUAACUGCAGGAGAAAAGUAGGGCAUGAGAAUCUGGAGGGAAGUGGUUUCUGAUUUCUACUCUGCCGCAUACAAACUGUGUUAACUUGGUCAAAUCAUUUCACCUAUCCAAGCCUAUUUCCUUACCUGUAAAAUGUAGAUGAUGAUGCUUACUCUCUUUCUACCUUAUUAAGUUGCCACGGGAAUCAAAUAAGAUAAUAGGUCUGAAAGUGCGCUCUAAACUAUAAAAGGCUUUUACAUAGGCCGGGUGCGGUGGCUCACGCCUGUAAUCCCAGCACUUCGGCCUCCCAAAUGCUGGGAUUACAGGCAUGAGCCACAGCGCCUGGCUGAAAAUGUUAUUUUUGAUGAAGCCCAAUUCAUCAGUUUUUUCUUUUUAUCAUUGUUAAGCUUUUUCUGUCCUGUCCAAAGAAUUUUUGCCUACCCCAAGCUCGCAAAGACAGUUUCUUGUGUGCCAUAUUUCCUUUUAGAAACUUCAUAGUUCUGAGUUUUUUAUUUAAGUAUAUGGUACAUUUAGAAUUAUUUGUAUAUGGAGUGAAACAGCAUUAAGGUUUAUUAUUAUUUUUCCAUGCAGAUAUUUAGUUGUUGCAGCGCUGUUUGUUAAACAAACAAACAACAAAAAAAGCCUUUUUUCCAUUAACUCAGUGCUGUGGUUUUAAAAAACAAUCCAUUUUCCUUAUAUAUCAGGGUCUAUUUAUUGACUCAUUUUUUUCAUUGAUUUGACAUCCUAUGCCAG